CGGCGUCUCGUCUAGUGCCUACGGCGACGGUCGAGCUGCCCGGGGUGAGGCGGCUGAAGGCCUGGCGGGUGCAUCCCGCCGACCCGCUCCGCCUACCAGCCGCUCGGCGUCGGGCCUCGCGGUUGUUUGGCGCGGAGAAGCUGUAGAUGAGCACGAGCCCAGCUCGCGCGCUGAGAGGAAUCUGGAGGCCUGCUGCCCGCUUCCGGACUGCAUUUUCCAGGGGACUCGCGGGCGGACGCUACAUUCCUCAGGAUUUCGGCCGCUUUGCGGGAUGGCGGGACCGUUGGCUUCCCCGAGUCAGCCGCUGCGGGGCCUUUGGAGUCCGGUGCAACUUGGCCAGUUUGGGCCAGACCGGAACUAGGGAAGGACUAGGGUGAGGAGUUCAGUUUCUAUUGCUAAGAGGAAGAGUAAAGAACGAUUAUUGAACAUCUAGAGGCCAAGAUCAAGACUCCAGUUACACAUAUGCUGGACUUCUUAGUAUCAUCCCAAAGAUCAACAGACAAGAAAUCAAGGUACAGAAGAAUUCAAUGCCAUCUAAACGACAUGUAUAGAUUGACAGCAGAAAUUCUCCAGUUGGAUGACUGCUAAAAGACCUUUCUCCACAUUGCUUACAAUCAGAGCUGUUACUCUCCAAAGUGAAUCAACUCAUAGUCAGAAAGGUCUGAGAUGUCUGGCAGUUAUCUACCAUAGCUGAAGAAACUUGCAUAUACCCUUGGACUGAGUAAUUCAUCUUAAUAUAAGAUUAACAGAAAUACACACACACAUGAAUAUUUAUAGCAUUUAUAGCAGUAUUUUUAUUAUAACACAAAAUUAUAAAAAAUACCAAUAUCCAUCAAGAGGAUAAAUAUGGUAUAUUUUAAAAUGGAAGAGUAAAGAGAAUGAAAAUGAACACAUUGCUGCCACAUGCAAUAAUGUGUGAAUCUUAAAAAUGUUGAGUGAAACAAGACACAAAAAAAUUCAUGACACAUGAUAAAACAUAAAGUUUAAAGACAUGCAAAGACUACUUCAUGACGUUAUAAACCAGGUACAUGGUAAUCUUUGGGGAAGUAACUUUUUUAUUCCAGAGCAUAAGGAGAAAUAUAUUUCAUAUUUUCUUUUAUAAAAACUGAUUUUAUGACCAUUUUGUAUCUUGCCUCUGCAUGUAUUAUGUAAAACUUUUUUAAAAAAUAAACUGA
Molecule: non-coding RNA, 1175 nt
Organism: Leptonychotes weddellii (Weddell seal)
Lineage: Eukaryota; Metazoa; Chordata; Mammalia; Carnivora; Phocidae
Source: RefSeq, a predicted model, not a curated record